UUAAGUUUGAUCGCAGACAAUCAGGUACCUCAGGAUAUCUCAGCUGCUUCUCUAGAUACUCUUUGCAGUGCUUGUCUCACACUUUCAGCUGUGCCUGAAGCUCACCUGAAUCAGGGUAAUGAUUCUCAGGAAGGGAAAAUGGGAAAUAGUCAGAAAACUAUCCACAGUCAGAGAGAAAAGUUACUGUCUGCAGGGCAGGAAAGUUCAGUAUUUAGACUUUGUAACAGACUUUGGAAAUUUCUAGUGUAGUUGGUUGUAUGAAGCCUAGAGCAAGGUUGGAUCCGAAGCACACUGAAUUUCUAGGUGCAACUGUGCCAGCAGGAAAAUAUUCCCACAAGGAAGGGAAUGGGAAGAAGAUGCCACUGCCAAACUCACUCUUCAUGGAAAAUGUCAUAGUGGGAGGCAGCUUGUCGAGGACAAGGAAUUGUUGUUUCCUGCUUUUCCUCCAUUUCUCUGCGACACAACUCACUGUUGCCUCAUCUCAUCACCUCUGAAUCUACCCCAUCAGUUCACCUGGCAGCCAUUCCUCCCAGACAACCCUGCCUCUGUUCUACCUCUGAAGGUGGUCACAAGCUACAAAAGAUACUGCAAUUUGUCAAGAUGUGCUAUUUAUGUGCACUAUUUAUGCCAGGAAAUUCUCACCUUUUCCUUUGGCCAUUGCUCUGAAGAAAGGUGACACCAGCCUGCCAGAAACAUCUUCGGGGUGUGUGGUCAUGCCAUCCUUCACUGCUUGAAAUCCAUUCAGAAUAACCACUGGGGCCCAUCCAAACCAUAAGGUGAAGAUGUUGCCAUGAAUUUUUGCCAGCUAGAGAUGGGAGAGAAGCCAGGAAAACACAGAUGAAAUCCCACACACUGCAAACAGAGGAUGAACCUGUUCUUUCACUGAUUACAGGACCAGCCCUAAGACCAAACCAGCAGUUCUGAACCAAACCAAGUGUGAUAUCACAGUGGCCAGUUAACAGUUACAGUACUACCAAUGUAGUUUUGGGAGAGGAUGUUUUCACACAGCAAGCAACAUGAGAAAGAAGAAAUCACAAAGGCUUUUAGACAAUUAGGAGUAUCUGAAAAUAAGUACCUGCAUGAGAAGGUCACGAUUAAACUGAAAGUUCAGCUGUAUCAGUGUCCCAAGGACUGGGAGAGGGACUGGUCCAGGAGGAAACCGUUUCCGCACUCGCUGCAACUUUAAAAACUGCGCAAUUAGAAGAAAUGCAGCCACUGCUACAAGAACUUCACUUAUGCUCAACAUUUUUGUGUCUGCCUUUAUUCAAAAUUGUCUAUUGAAGCUAUUAAGGCUGGUUGCUAAACCAGUUUUUUCAUUAGAGCUUGAAUUCACAUAAUAAAUAUUCCCCGCCUCUAACCCUACCUCUUUAUUAUCAACCACUCCCUUUUUGUUCCACUCAUUAUGUUCUCAUGCUCCAGCAUAUUAAUAGAUGCACACCCUUCUUCUUCUCAUCCAGAUUAUACUCAUUCAGUAUGGAUCACAGCAUUUGUAGGAAUGGUGUCUUAAAAGACUUGGGCCAAGAUUUUCCAGGCAAUGAAGAUGCACGUAAAUUCUCCAUCUAGUUUUUCUGAGCCAAUUUUGAAUGGUAUGUGUUCCUACAAAUAGUCCAGGAAUGCUUUUAGAAAAGCAAUAGCCAUACAUACAAAUUAAGCAGGCAAAUGUAAGUGGAUAUUAAAUCUUGGAGUUUUUAAAUUGGUUUGUAUAUGUUCUACGUACCCGUUAUAUCUAAUAAUGGCAAGGCUGAUAGAAGUUAAAAGCCCACACUUAUCUUAAGAUAUAUAUACAACUAUCUAAUGCUUAAUACAAAAAGCAAAAUUUGUUACACUCUUGAAUAUAAUUGAAAACAUAACUGGAUUAAUGUAUGACCUUACUUUUUUCCCUAACAUGUUAGCACUAGGAAAACUCACAGAGGGUUUUGUCUGCUUCUGCAUUUCCCCAUUCAGUCUUGACAUAAGGUGGGUACCCCAUAUGAUUUGAGAAAUCAUCAGAAAGUAUGUGAGAUAAAUAAUGCAUAUUCAUGGAGAAAGUACAUCAGGUGUUAAAUAUACAGAUUUAAAAGAAAAAAAAUUAAAACAUGAGAAAAACCUAGUAGGGAUCUUGAGCUACCACCAGGCCUCAACAAGAACUAGUCAUGACAUGAGUGUGGAUCCUUGGUAACUUGAAAACAGAGUCUGUAGCCAAGGCUCUUUGCCAAGCCUCAACACCACAAGCAGGAACCACAAACACGGCACCAGGGGAUUUCACAGGCUGCAAACAGACCAUGAAAACCUCACAAGAGGGGUUCUGGGUACCACAUAACCAUGACCAUUGCAGUCCCCUGUUACAGAUCCAGACGGAAAUGCUUCCCUUUCAAAAUUGCCCAUCCCUUGAGGGCAAAG
Passer domesticus (house sparrow) is the source of this 2379-nucleotide long non-coding RNA. RefSeq lists it as uncharacterized. Lineage: Eukaryota; Metazoa; Chordata; Aves; Passeriformes; Passeridae. The record is from RefSeq and is a predicted model, not a curated record. The transcript is spliced from 3 exons.